CCUACGGGAGGCAGCAGUGGGGAAUCUUGCGCAAUGGGCGAAAGCCUGACGCAGCCAUGCCGCGUGAAUGAUGAAGGUCUUAGGAUUGUAAAAUUCUUUCACCGAGGACGAUAAUGACGGUACUCGGAGAAGAAGCCCCGGCUAACUUCGUGCCAGCAGCCGCGGUAAUACGAAGGGGGCUAGCGUUGCUCGGAAUUACUGGGCGUAAAGGGAGCGUAGGCGGAUAGUUUAGUCAGAGGUGAAAGCCCAGGGCUCAACCUUGGAAUUGCCUUUGAUACUGGCUAUCUUGAGUACGGAAGAGGUAUGUGGAACUCCGAGUGUAGAGGUGAAAUUCGUAGAUAUUCGGAAGAACACCAGUGGCGAAGGCGACAUACUGGUCCGUUACUGACGCUGAGGCUCGAAAGCGUGGGGAGCAAACAGGAUUAGAUACCCUGGUAGUCCACGCUGUAAACGAUGAGUGCUAGUUGUCGGCAUGCAUGCAUGUCGGUGACGCAGCUAACGCAUUAAGCACUCCGCCUGGGGAGUACGGUCGCAAGNUUAAAACUCAAAGGAAUUGACGG
This 560-nucleotide ribosomal RNA is filed under the name uncultured bacterium. Its description in RNAcentral is "bacterial SSU rRNA". It matches the Rfam family "Bacterial small subunit ribosomal RNA", at positions 338 to 916 of the family's 1533-position model. The record is from RNAcentral.